AUGACUUGUGGAUAGCGGAGAAAUUCCAAUCGAACUCGGAGAUAGCUGGUUCUCCCCGAAAUAGCUUUAGGGCUAGCGUUAUUUUAGAUUACCGGAGGUAAAGCACUGAAUGGUCUAGGGGCCGCGAGGUUACCAAAGCCUAUCAAACUCUGAAUGCCGGAUAAUUGAUGAAUAGCAGUCAGACUGUGUGAGAUAAGUCUCAUAGUCAAAAGGGAAACAGCCCAGAUCUACAGCUAAGGUCCCAAAUGAACACUAAGUGGAAAAUGAUGUGAAACUGCGAAGACAACCAGGAUGUUGGCUUAGAAGCAGCCACUCAUUCAAAGAGUGCGUAAUAGCUCACUGGUCGAGUGGUUUUGCGCAGAAAAUGUAACGGGGCUAAGUGUUCAACCGAAGCUUAGGCAUUGCAGUAAUGCAUUGGGUAGGGGAGCGUCGUAUGCGGGGCGAAGUCAGAGCGGAAGCACUGGUGGACUGCAUACGAGUGAGAAUGCCGGAAUAAGUAGCGAGAAUUAUGUGAGAAUCAUAAUGGCCGAAAAUCUAAGGUUUCCUGGGGAAGGUUCGUCCGCCCAGGGUUAGUCGGGAGCUAAGCUCAGGCCGAGAGGCGUAGGCGAUGCACAUACGGUAGAAAUUCCGUAACCACCGAACAUUUAAGCUAGAGGGACGCUUUCUUUAAGGUUAUCCCGGGCGAUGGUUGCCCCGGGCGUAAGGGACCGAAAUAUAGUAGGGAAGUAACUGGCGAGAGAGACGAGAAAAGCUCUAGUGUAUACUAAGGUGCCCGUACCGCAAACCGACACAGGUAGAAGGGAUGAGUAUUCUAAGGCCAACGGGAGAAGGGUUGUUAAGGAACUCGGCAAAUUGGCCCCGUAACUUCGGGAUAAGGGGCGCCUGCGAGAGCAGGCCGCAGUGAAAAGGCCCAAGCGACUGUUUAGCAAAAACACAGCUCUCUGCUAAAUCGAAAGAUGACGUAUAGGGGGUGACGCCUGCCCGGUGCUGGAAGGUUAAGGGGAGUGCUUAGCGCAAGCGAAGGUGCGAACUUAAGCCCCAGUAAACGGCGGCCGUAACUAUAACGGUCCUAAGGUAGCGAAAUUCCUUGUCAGGUAAGUUCUGACCCGCACGAAUGGCGUAACGAUUUGGGCGCUGUCUCAACAGCCCACCCGGCGAAAUUGUAGUACCGGUGAAGAUGCCGGUUACCCGCAACUAGACGGAAAGACCCCAUGGAGCUUCACUGUAGCUUGAUAUUGGAUCUCGGUAUUCCAUGUACAGGAUAGGUGGGAGACUUGGAAGUAAGCGCGCCAGCGUUUAUGGAGUCAACCUUGGGAUACCACUCUUGGGAUAUUGGGAUUCUAACCUGCGACCAUGAAUCUGGUCGGGGGACACUGUCAGGUGGGCAGUUUGACUGGGGCGGUCGCCUCCAAAAGAGUA
RNAcentral lists this ribosomal RNA (1419 nucleotides) under human gut metagenome. Its description in RNAcentral is "bacterial LSU rRNA". It matches the Rfam family "Bacterial large subunit ribosomal RNA", at positions 804 to 2299 of the family's 2925-position model. The record is from RNAcentral.